Molecule: unclassified non-coding RNA, 405 nt
Filed under: Hevea brasiliensis (rubber tree)
Lineage: Eukaryota; Viridiplantae; Streptophyta; Magnoliopsida; Malpighiales; Euphorbiaceae
Source: RNAcentral
GUUAGAAAGAGGCCAUGGGGUAAAUAUGCUGCUGAAAUUCGUGAUUCUACGAGGAAUGGUGUUCGUGUAUGGCUAGGUACAUUUGAUAAUGCUGAAGAAGCUGCGUUAGCGUAUGAUCAAGCUGCAUUUGCUAUGAGAGGUUCGAUGGCCAUACUUAAUUUUCCUGUGGAGACAGUUAAGGAAUCGUUAAAUGAAAUGAAGUGUAGAUUUGAUGGUAAUUGUUCGCCGGUGAUUGAAUUGAAGAAGAGAUAUUCAAUGAGGAGAAAGAGUGUUAGUAGAAAAAACAGAGCAAGAAAAGAUGUUGUGGUUUUUGAAGAUUUGGGUGCUGAAUUGUUAGAGGAACUUUUGACGAGUACUUCCUCUAAUUAGAAUUAUAUUCUUCUACUUGUUUGUACAUAAAAAUUG